This 404-nucleotide ribosomal RNA is filed under the name Fusobacteriota bacterium. RNAcentral's name for it is "Fusobacteria bacterium partial 16S ribosomal RNA". It matches the Rfam family "Bacterial small subunit ribosomal RNA", at positions 355 to 776 of the family's 1533-position model. The record is from RNAcentral. Lineage: Bacteria; Fusobacteriati; Fusobacteriota.
UGGGGAAUAUUGCACAAUGGAGGGAACUCUGAUGCAGCGACGCCGCGUGAGUGAUGAAGGAAUUCGUUUCGUAAAACUCUGUUCUAUGGGAAGAAAAGGACUGUACCAUAGGAGAAAGCUCCGGCUAAAUACGUGCCAGCAGCCGCGGUAAUACGUAUGGAGCGAGCGUUGUCCAGAAUUAUUGGGCGUAAAGGGUGCGCAGGCGGCUUUACAAGUUGGAUGUGAAAUAUUGUGGCUCAACCACAAACGUGCAUCCAAAACUGCAAAGCUUGAGUUAAGGAGAGGUAAGUGGAAUUCCGGGUGUAGCGGUGGAAUGCGUAGAUAUCAGGAAGAAUACCGGUGGCGAAGGCGACUUACUGGACUUAAACUGACGCUCAGGCACGAAAGCGUGGGGAGCAAACAGG